UAGGCAGAGCGGGCCCAUGGCA
This 22-nucleotide unclassified non-coding RNA is filed under the name Mus musculus (house mouse). Its description in RNAcentral is "oocyte_clustered_small_RNA6548". The record is from RNAcentral. Lineage: Eukaryota; Metazoa; Chordata; Mammalia; Rodentia; Muridae.